GACGAACGCUGGCGGCGUGCCUAAUACAUGCAAGUCGAGCGAGACUCUUUUGAGUCUAGCGGCGGACGGGUGAGUAACACGUGGGCAACCCGCCUGUAAGACUGGGAUAACACCGGGAAACCGGUGCUAAUACCGGAUAAUCCUUUUCCUCUCAUGAGGAAAAGCUGAAAGUCGGUUUCGGCUGACACUUACAGAUGGGCCCGCGGCGCAUUAGCUAGUUGGUGAGGUAACGGCUCACCAAGGCGACGAUGCGUAGCCGACCUGAGAGGGUGAUCGGCCACACUGGGACUGAGACACGGCCCAGACUCCUACGGGAGGCAGCAGUAGGGAAUCUUCCACAAUGGACGAAAGUCUGAUGGAGCAACGCCGCGUGAGCGAUGAAGGCCUUCGGGUCGUAAAGCUCUGUAGUUAGGGAAGAACAAGUACCGGAGUAACUGCCGGUACCUUGACGGUACCUAACCAGAAAGCCACGGCUAACUACGUGCCAGCCGCCGCAGUAA
RNAcentral lists this ribosomal RNA (500 nucleotides) under uncultured bacterium. RNAcentral describes it as "partial 16S ribosomal RNA". It matches the Rfam family "Bacterial small subunit ribosomal RNA", at positions 28 to 523 of the family's 1533-position model. The record is from RNAcentral.